GGCAGGUUUGGACUCUUCAUUUGUGUGUGGUGACUCAUCUCCACAAGGAGGCCUUGCGGCUCUUUGCCGACGUGCUCCACGGUCACCCAGAUCUCCAUCCUCACUCUGUUGUAUUCACAAUGGCUCCCUAAUGCCAUGGCAGGCCCCUCAGCCUGGUCGUUUUCAGGAGCGAGAGAUUCUAGCUCGGUGCCUGUCCCAUAGCAGGUACUCAGCACACCGUGGCUGGGUGCAAGAAAGAGGAGGGGCUGGGCCAGACACUGCAGAGGGGCCACCUAAAAGCAUCUCCCAGACUUCUCGCCUAGAAUUCUUCUACCGGUGUGGACACAAAACCUCGAUUUCUCAGCUUCUCUUGCAGCUAAUGAGAAAGUUCUGGCCAAUAAGCUGUAAGUGCAGGUCUUCAAGGAACACUUUCUUUCCAGAAUAAGAGGUAAACUUCUCUAAGAGAACACCUUGGACGCCUUUGCCAUCCCCCUUCUUCCCACCUGGAAUGCAGACAUGAUGCUGGAAGGUACAACAGCUAUCUUGCAACCACGAGGCAGCAAGCCACACUCAGACUGGUCCAGGGAGAAAGAAUAAAGUACCUUGGUUCCUGAUGGUGAACUGAUGACCAUUACUGCUAGGCUGACUGACCGUGUGGAGGUUUCCCAAGAUGCUAAAAGAAAAAUCGUCCUGGGCAAAUCUGGUUAUUGGUCACCCUACCCAGCCCUGGACUUACUGACUCAAGAAACAUGUCAUACAGGGAGAAAAAUAAGCCCACCUUUAUCACAGCCAUCUAGUCAGGUUUAUUCAUUAUUCAUAGUCAAAAGAAUUCCUGCACAUGGAAGUUGAUAUUUCUAAGAUUCAACAAAACAAACCCAUAGAGAGGUGUAGGUCACAGGGGCCAGCUGCCUUUUCACAGGUUAACCCGGGUGAGUCCAAUAAUGAUUCUUUAUAAAAGUUUCAUUAUACUAAUUUCACAGGUGAAAAUAAUUGAGGCACCAAGACGGUUAGCCCAACUAGAAUCUAAAGCCCAUACAUUUUAUGCCAUGCCCUCUCCCUUUGCAAAGCCACUCUGACUCAUGUACUUUUAGUGUAAUAUGUGAUCAUCUAAUGUUAUCCUAGGCAUGGGCCUCAUGCUUUUCUAUUGAGUAAAGUUAAUGUGAGACACAAUUAUGAUUUUUCUAUGAUUUUUUGAUGCCAAAAAAUCCUAGUGAUCUGACUUGUCUUUAUAAGAUU
Molecule: long non-coding RNA, 1215 nt
Filed under: Saimiri boliviensis boliviensis (Bolivian squirrel monkey)
Lineage: Eukaryota; Metazoa; Chordata; Mammalia; Primates; Cebidae
Description: lncRNA (ENSSBOG00000036693.1)
Source: RNAcentral